GAUGAACGCUGGCGGCGUGCCUAAUACAUGCAAGUCGAACGAACGGACGAUAAGCUUGCUUCUCUGAUGUUAGCGGCGGACGGGUGAGUAACACGUGUAUAACCUACCUAUAAUACUGGGAUAACUUCGGGAAACCGGAUCUAAUACCGGAUAAUAUUUUGAACCGCAUGGUUCAAAAGUGAAAGACGGUCUUGCGGUCACUUAUAGAUGGAUCCGCGCUGCAUUAGCUAGUUGGUAAGGUAACGGCUUACCAAGGCAACGAUGCAUAGCCGACCUGAGAGGGUGAUCGGCCACAUUGGAACUGAGACACCGUCCAGACUCCUACGGGAGGCAGCAGUAGCGAACCUUCCGCAAUGGGCGAAAGCCUGACGGAGUAACGCCGAGUGAGUGAUGAAGGUCUUCGGAUCGUAAAACUCUGUUAUUAGGGAAGAACAUAUGUGUAAGUAACUGUGCCCAUCUUGACGGUACUUAAUCAGAAAGCCACGGCUAACUACGUG
RNAcentral lists this ribosomal RNA (497 nucleotides) under uncultured bacterium. RNAcentral's name for it is "partial 16S ribosomal RNA". It matches the Rfam family "Bacterial small subunit ribosomal RNA", at positions 28 to 507 of the family's 1533-position model. The record is from RNAcentral.